RNAcentral lists this transfer RNA (75 nucleotides) under Allobrachymonas sp. RNAcentral's name for it is "tRNA-Cys". It matches the Rfam family "tRNA". From Rfam's summary of the family: Transfer RNA (tRNA) molecules are approximately 80 nucleotides in length. Their secondary structure includes four short double-helical elements and three loops (D, anti-codon, and T loops). The record is from RNAcentral. Lineage: Bacteria; Pseudomonadati; Pseudomonadota; Betaproteobacteria; Burkholderiales; Comamonadaceae.
GUCGUUAUGGCCGAAUGGGAAGGCCUCUGCCUGCAAAGCAGAUGUGUGGGGGUUCGAUUCCCUCUGACGACUCCA